UGCAUCUUAAAGAUAAGUAUUCACUUUAGGCGUCCUUCCUCUAACAGACAGGUGCAAACAGUAAACCCUCUUUUGCAACCCAGAACUCAUUGUUGAGUAUGAGAGUUUGGUACAUGUAAGAAGGAAUAUG
Small nucleolar RNA from Perognathus longimembris pacificus (Pacific pocket mouse), 130 nucleotides. RefSeq annotates it as small nucleolar RNA SNORA40. NCBI's taxonomy places the organism in Eukaryota, Metazoa, Chordata, Mammalia, Rodentia, Heteromyidae. The transcript has a single exon. The record is from RefSeq and is a predicted model, not a curated record.